GAUCCUGGCUCAGGACGAACGCUGGCGGCGUGCUUAACACAUGCAAGUCGAACGGAGCACUCUUGAAUGAGGUUUCGGCCAAAGGAAAGGAAUGCUUAGUGGCGGACUGGUGAGUAACGCGUGAGGAACCUGCCUUUCAGAGGGGGACAACAGCUGGAAACGGCUGCUAAUACCGCAUGACGCAUUCGGAUGGCAUCAUCUGAAUGCCAAAGAUUUAUCGCUGAAAGAUGG
Molecule: ribosomal RNA, 231 nt
Filed under: uncultured bacterium
Lineage: Bacteria
Description: partial 16S ribosomal RNA
Rfam family: Bacterial small subunit ribosomal RNA
Source: RNAcentral